This 543-nucleotide long non-coding RNA is filed under the name Gossypium barbadense (sea-island cotton). Its description in RNAcentral is "long non-coding RNA (GBAR_LNC012229)". Lineage: Eukaryota; Viridiplantae; Streptophyta; Magnoliopsida; Malvales; Malvaceae. The record is from RNAcentral.
CUCAUUUCAACCAUCCCAACCAAUCUUUCUCUCUUAGUUUUCUCUCUUCUCCCAUUUGAGAAUUCUUAAGGAAUUCUAUUUGUUUGUAAUAUUUUGGAGAUAGUAAAGUUAUCAUCUGGUGUUAGUGCCCGAGGACGUAGGUAUAAUUUACCGAACCUCGUUAAAACUCUUGUGUUCUUUUUUGUCCUAUUUUUCUUUCAAUAUUUGAGGGUAUAAUAGUAGUAUUUAAUUGUGCUAUUAAAUUACUAUAGAAGGGAUAUUCUGACUAAGGAAAGACUUGGUAUUUAAGAGAUCAUUGUGAUCCACCUCUCUUCCCUGGGAAUUGAACUUUGUGUGAUUUUUUAGUACAAUAAUUUACACGCUUCCGACCCUAUUGGAACAACAAGUGGUAUCAAGAGCCGAAGGUUAAUCGUAGUAUGCUCUGUGGUUGCAGUUUAAACUGAUCUUCCACAUCAGAAAAGAUUUCCUUAGGUAUAUUGAAAGAUUAUGGAGAAAACGGUCGGUGUAGGAGCUUCAACAUCGUCCAUAUGGACAAGACCGACA